RNAcentral lists this ribosomal RNA (448 nucleotides) under uncultured Acidovorax sp. Its description in RNAcentral is "bacterial SSU rRNA". It matches the Rfam family "Bacterial small subunit ribosomal RNA", at positions 933 to 1382 of the family's 1533-position model. The record is from RNAcentral. Lineage: Bacteria; Pseudomonadati; Pseudomonadota; Betaproteobacteria; Burkholderiales; Comamonadaceae.
UGGAUGAUGUGGUUUAAUUCGAUGCAACGCGAAAGACCUUACCCACCUUUGACAUGGCAGGAAUCCCGAAGAGAUUUGGGAGUGCUCGAAAGAGAACCUGCACACAGGUGCUGCAUGGCUGUCGUCAGCUCGUGUCGUGAGAUGUUGGGUUAAGUCCCGCAACGAGCGCAACCCUUGUCAUUAGUUGCUACAUUCAGUUGGGCACUCUAAUGAGACUGCCGGUGACAAACCGGAGGAAGUGGGGAUGACGUCAAGUCCUCAUGGCCCUUAUAGGUGGGGCUACACACGUCAUACAAUGGAUGGUACAAAGGGUCGCCAACCCGCGAGGGGGAGCCAAUCCCAUAAAGCCAUUCGUAGUCCGGAUCGCAGUCUGCAACUCGACUGCGUGAAGUCGGAAUCGCUAGUAAUCGUGGAUCAGAAUGUCACGGUGAAUACGUUCCCGGGUCUU